UACCCAGACCGACUGUGUCCUGCCCUAGAGUCUAGAGCCGAUCCCACAAUCUUUUCUCAAAUCGGCCGUACGAGAUCGUGUUGGUGAGCCAACGAUCUGGUCCACGCCCGGCCUCUGCCGAUCAGUUAAUUGGUGGUGUAGGUCACAGAUCAACCAUGACUCAUUUCAUUUGGAAGCUACUAGUAGGAAAAGAUAGAGACAUCCCGUACGCGAAUCCUGCUCCGCGCUGCGUCGUCUUCAAGAUCCUCGUGCGCUUGUUGUCAAAGUAAAUGUAUGCGUCCCACACGGCCACAUGCGGCCAAGGUUUUAUAAUGGCGCGCAGAUCUGCAGGAAUUCAAGGACGAGAGCUACCCGAUCCUUCUACCAGUGUUCGUUACCCGACGACGGCACGUCCGGAUCGUCAAGCCGAGCAACGAGCAUCUGCUCCGCUUCAGUGCAGAGUCCAUCUGCGUAAGCAUGGCUUGUUUUUUUGGUUGGUUGGCUUUACACCGAUCAAAUCGGAUCAGGAUACGGAGUAGCAGGAGAGAUCGCCCAAGAUCAGAGCAAUGCAUGCACCAGAAGAGCAGAGUGAGGGGAGGUAAGAUCAGAUGAGAUUUGAUUGGAGAUGAUCCUUCUACUUGUCCUCAUAAUGUGCACUGUAGUAGGAGCACAUCUUUUCCAUUGCCUUUCCUUAAAAGAACACUCAUUAUUUCAUCCAUAUCCACGGUAACUGUACAAGUUCCCGAUCUGACAUUAUUUCCCAUUCCCACAAGCAGAUUGCAUUAGUUGUUGAC
This 773-nucleotide long non-coding RNA is filed under the name Hordeum vulgare. RNAcentral's name for it is "long non-coding RNA (HVUL_LNC008217)". The record is from RNAcentral. Lineage: Eukaryota; Viridiplantae; Streptophyta; Magnoliopsida; Poales; Poaceae.